Molecule: ribosomal RNA, 447 nt
Filed under: uncultured bacterium
Lineage: Bacteria
Description: SSU rRNA
Rfam family: Bacterial small subunit ribosomal RNA
Source: RNAcentral
AGAGCGAACGCUGGCGGCAGGCUUAACACAUGCAAGUCGAGCGGGCGUAGCAAUACGUCAGCGGCAGACGGGUGAGUAACGCGUGGGAACGUACCUUUUGGUUCGGAACAACCCAGGGAAACUUGGGCUAAUACCGGAUACGCCCGCAAGGGGAAAGAUUUAUCGCCGGAAGAUCGGCCCGCGUCUGAUUAGCUAGUUGGUGAGGUAACGGCUCACCAAGGCGACGAUCAGUAGCUGGUCUGAGAGGAUGAUCAGCCUCACUGGGACUGAGACACGGCCCAGACUCCUACGGGAGGCAGCAGUGGGGAAUAUUGGACAAUGGGCGCAAGCCUGAUCCAGCCAUGCCGCGUGGGUGAUGAAGGCCCUAGGGUUGUAAAGCCCUUUCGGCGGGGAAGAUAAUGACGGUACCGCAGAAGAAGCCCCGGCUAACUUCGUGCCAGCAGCCGC